AAGCAAAAUAAAUGUUUACUGAUAUGCAUGGGGCAAUAUUUGUUGUAAAUAGUAAAUGUUAGACUUGAUUAUUAUAUUAAAAUCCUGUUUCUACUACAGCAUACUCAUUGUGGGUUUUUUUCCCUUGUUUCAAUUAGAGAACUCACAGGAUUCUCAAUUUAUUUUGUACACUAGUGGAAAGGACCAGCCGCCCUUCUCAAGGUGAAGGACUGUGCAUGUCCACCUCACAUGAAGCAAGUGUUUAUUUUAGUAUGAUUUAACUGACAUGCUGAGAUGCGCUGAGAACUCCUGGGAUUAGAGUUUGGAGGGGCUUUCACAGAGCAUGGAACAAUCUCUGAGAGGCCUGAGAAUCAUUGGUGGCUUAAAGGCCACAUGGUUGUCCCAGAAGUCAUCAUGGGGACAUCCUUGAUCUUGGCACUUUUGUCAAAUACGAACUAAUCAUAGUCAUAUAAAUUUAUGUCUGGAUGCAAGAUUCCUCUCGAUUAAUCCUCAUGUCAGUACCACACUGUCUUGACUACUGUAGCCUUGAAAAAGUAAGUUUGGAAAUCAGGAAAUAACUUUGAACUUCAUUCUUUACAAAAUUGUUUUAGCUAUUAUGUUUCCCUUGCAUUCCCAUAUGAAUUUUGGGAAUGAUUUUUCAAUUUCUGCACAGAAAGAAAAAAAGAUAGUUGGGAUUUGUUACAGGGGUUGCAUUGAAUCUAUAGGUUAAUUUAGGAACCAGUGGCAUCUUAACAAGUCUUUCAGUCAUUAUGUAUGGAAUGUUAGGUCUAGUUGGUUUACAAAUUUGCUCAAAUCAACAGUAUCUUUGCUGAUCUUGUAUUCAUUAUUGAAAAGGGACUGAAGUCUCCAACUACUAUAGUUCAUUUCUCUUUGAUUCUGUCAGGUUUUGCUCCAUGUAUGUUGGGGCUCUGUUUUUAGGUGUAUUCAUGUUAUAAAUUAUUUUGUUCAUCUUUUUUCAUUGUAUAGUGCCCUCCUUUGUCUUUUCAUGAAUAAAUUUUGGCUUAAAUUCUAUUUUUCCUGUAGUUUCAUUUAUAUGAAAUACUUAUAAGAGACCAAUUCAUAAAGCCAGAGUAGAUUAGAGGUUAC
This 1086-nucleotide long non-coding RNA is filed under the name Marmota monax (woodchuck). Lineage: Eukaryota; Metazoa; Chordata; Mammalia; Rodentia; Sciuridae. The record is from RNAcentral.